GUGCUUGCUUCAGCAGCACACAUACCAAAAUUGGAAUGAUACAGAGAAGAUUAGUAUACUCCCUGCACGAGGAUGACAUGUGAAUCUGUGAAGUGUUCCCUAUUUUU
Apus apus (common swift) is the source of this 107-nucleotide small nuclear RNA. The record is from RefSeq and is a predicted model, not a curated record. Lineage: Eukaryota; Metazoa; Chordata; Aves; Apodiformes; Apodidae.